UCUCAGCAUUGUUGUUUAAAUAAUUCCAUACUGCUAUUUCAAUGAAUAGUGUGCAUUGAAAUAUCAGUGUGGAAUUACGUCAAACAGGGCAGUGAAUGCUAUAUCACUGGCUGGAAUUUUGGAGUUGGGGGAAUCUCAGUGUAUUGUUUAUUGUAUAUUUGUGAAUUGUGAUGCAUCAGUCAGGUUUAACAACUGUUGUAUUGUGCCAUUUUGCAGGAAAGUGACCUCUGGGUCACCUCUGUUGAGGAACACCACCUGCCUGUGCCUCCUCCUCAUCCUCCUCCUCCUGAAUUACCUGAGGAAGAUGACAACUACUUUGCAGAUGAUGAAGAUGAGCCCAUGGAAGAAGGAGACUGAUUUUUAUAGUUCAAUGAAGGCAUGGAUUUGUUCAUAAAGGAAGUUUUAAAUUCUACAUUCAGCAGUCAGACAAAUAUGGCCUCUUUAGUUAUAACAUUAACAUUGAAUUGAAAUCCUUUCUGUA
Long non-coding RNA from Micropterus salmoides (largemouth bass), 481 nucleotides. RefSeq lists it as uncharacterized. The record is from RefSeq and is a predicted model, not a curated record. The transcript is spliced from 2 exons. NCBI's taxonomy places the organism in Eukaryota, Metazoa, Chordata, Actinopteri, Centrarchiformes, Centrarchidae.